Long non-coding RNA from Prunus mume (Japanese apricot), 489 nucleotides. RefSeq lists it as uncharacterized. NCBI's taxonomy places the organism in Eukaryota, Viridiplantae, Streptophyta, Magnoliopsida, Rosales, Rosaceae. The record is from RefSeq and is a predicted model, not a curated record.
AAGUAGUCUUAAAAACAUGAACUCUUCCUCCUUUUGAAGAAACGAACACCACCAAAACACCAGGACUGCCCACAAAAUCAAAACACUCUUACCUCAGCGGUGCCUAGAAGGCAAUCCAGUAAAGCCCUUCACCCAAUUUACCUCAAUGUGUCAGACAUUGAACUUACUUCAUGUGUCCGGAAAACAGUUGUGAACGCAUUUAUCUCCAUCCAUCGAAAAAGCAACUCUUCACUUCUUCGGUAAUUAAUAAACGGGACGUGCAUUACCUGCAACCAAAAUGCUGAAAUAGGAGCAUUGUAAGUCUUGAGCUCAUUCCAAAUAUGGCGUACAGAUUCUGUGCCACCCUGCAUGCCAACAACAGCUCCAGAAAUAAUCCAGUCAGGAAGUUUAGGAGGUCUCCCAAUGGUCUCAGUGAAACACUCAAUGAGCUCAGAUGGUGAAGUUCCAUGCAAUAUCCGCCCUUCAACUGAAUUUCCAUGUAUCUGCAAG